GAUGAACGCUGGCGGCGUGCCUAAUACAUGCAAGUCGAGCGAACAGACGAGGAGCUUGCUCCUCUGACGUUAGCGGCGGACGGGUGAGUAACACGUGGAUAACCUACCUAUAAGACUGGGAUAACUUCGGGAAACCGGAGCUAAUACCGGAUAAUAUAUUGAACCGCAUGGUUCAAUAGUGAAAGACGGUUUUGCUGUCACUUAUAGAUGGAUCCGCGCCGCAUUAGCUAGUUGGUAAGGUAACGGCUUACCAAGGCAACGAUGCGUAGCCGACCUGAGAGGGUGAUCGGCCACACUGGAACUGAGACACGGUCCAGACUCCUACGGGAGGCAGCAGUAGGGAAUCUUCCGCAAUGGGCGAAAGCCUGACGGAGCAACGCCGCGUGAGUGAUGAAGGUCUUCGGAUCGUAAAACUCUGUUAUUAGGGAAGAACAAAUGUGUAAGUAACUAUGCACGUCUUGACGGUACCUAAUCAGAAAGCCACGGCUAACUACGUGCCAGCCGCCGCCGUAA
This 513-nucleotide ribosomal RNA is filed under the name uncultured bacterium. RNAcentral describes it as "partial 16S ribosomal RNA". It matches the Rfam family "Bacterial small subunit ribosomal RNA", at positions 28 to 523 of the family's 1533-position model. The record is from RNAcentral.